GUACUUAACACAUGCAAGUCGGAACGGUAACGAGGUCUAGCUUGCUAGAUGCUGACGAGUGGCGGACGGGUGAGUAACGCGGUGGGAAUCUCGCCUUCUAGGUGGGGAUACGCCCGGAAGAAAUCCGGAUUAAUACCGCAUACGCCCGUACGGGGGAAAGCCGGGGGAUCUUCGGACCUGGCGCUAGUAGAUGAGCCCGCGUGAGAUUAGCUUGUUGGUGGGGUAAUGGCCUACCAAGGCAACGAUCUCUAGCUGGUCUGAGAGGACGAUCAGCCACACUGGGACUGAGACACGGCCCAGACUCCUACGGGAGGCAGCAGUGGGGAAUAUUGGACAAUGGGCGAAAGCCUGAUCCAGCAAUGCCGCGUGUGUGAAGAAGGCCUGAGGGUUGUAAAGCACUUUCAAUCGUGAAGAAAAGUUGCAGGCUAAUACCCUGUGACCUUGACGUUAACGAUACAAGAAGCACCGGCUAACUCCGUG
This 480-nucleotide ribosomal RNA is filed under the name uncultured bacterium. RNAcentral's name for it is "bacterial SSU rRNA". It matches the Rfam family "Bacterial small subunit ribosomal RNA", at positions 44 to 507 of the family's 1533-position model. The record is from RNAcentral.